CUUCAUCGAGAUAUGUUCUCAUAUGCACAAAUAAACAAACCAAGCACCUGCAUGUGCCAGCAAGAUUACAGCCCUACAUCAGCAAUACUACCUUUAUAUCUUUUGUAUAUAUACACAUGGUGCAUUCAUAAUUUCCACAUCAUUAGCAUCAUCACCGUUUUAUCGAUAUUUUAUUUGAAAACAUAUAAAUGAUAUAUAAAUAGUAAUCAAAGAUACAUAACAUGAUGGCACAUCGGGCAAGAACUUCUCACCAUAAAAAAUGUGGGCAAUGGUAGACCAUAGAAUCAUCAUGUAAUCUAUGAGAAAAAAAGUCUACUUACUAUUUUUUAUCAAAAUAUCAGCAUGAUACUAAAGCAUCAUUCUUCUCUUUAAAGUUACUGCUUAUCAGACAUGCACGUUACUUGCUCAGGAAGAUGUGAUUCUUCCCCAGAUUUAUCUGUUGGGUGCAUUGAAGUCAGCUUAUCAACUGUCUAAUUUAGCUACUGAUCUGCUUCCCUUGUCACUCAGUUUCUGAUGAAUUAUUUCAGUUUGAACCACUUUUACCAUUGGAAAGAUUCAUUUUGUGUUCGUUGAAUUGGAAUAGUACACAAGACUGUAGUCAACUCUCCAGUUCUAAUGCUUGGGUCAAUUAUCAAUGACAGACUAGAUUCUCUCAGUUGUUUACACAAUUUUUUUAAUUUUUGUAUAUGCUGGUCUAUAUUCUGCUCUGAGCCUCUGACAUCAUCUAACUCCUGAGAUGCAUAUCAAGCUUAAAGGUGUGACUUGUAGGAAACUAGUAAAACUAGGUCGAAGCUAGAUCCCAUGAUAAAGAAGAUGAGUGAAUCACCUGACAAUUGAUUCUCCAAUUCUAGCAUUCUAGCACUUGCUAAAUCAGGAAAUUCUUAUCACCCUGGCUAGAAUAUGUUAAAGCUGACAGUGUAUAGAAUGUUUUAGCAAGUUUGAAUAACAAAAAUCAAGUAUGUGAGAGACUAAAGGCCUCUUUGAUCAACUACAACUGCUACUACAGGAACCAUUAUGGUAGAGUAGCAUCACAUGGAUCAAAUGAGUAAAGCCUUUUCACUAGAACUACUUAUUUUAGUUUCUUGAUAAGAUUCGUUGAAUCAGGGAACAUCACCAAUUAUACACUAGCAAGUCUGAACUUUGUUCAAUGCCUCAAAUAAUUUGGUGGAUGAGAAACUGAUUUACACUCAAAUUCGAAUCAACCCUAGUAAAAUGCCAAUUUUGUCAUAUCAUUGAUCUCGAUGAGCACCUAAUGGCAGCACUUGGCCACCACAGAAUGGAACAGCUAGAACUCGCAGUUAGUCCACAGUAUCUCAAACACAUUCCAUUUAGAUAAACAUUUCAAACAACCUGAUAAACCGCAUUUUCCAUAUUCCACUUGAUACAAAACCAGUAUACAGAAAAAGAGGCUAACCGAACAUAAGUGAAAAGGAUUAAAGCUUCUAAAAUAUAACCAUGUGGCCUGCAACUCCAUCUAAAUUUUCAUCAUUUUCUCUAUCAAAUGCACACAACUGCACCUUCAAAUCAUAUAUACACACAUUGAACUACCGAUGUAGGCAACUGGAUUACACUGCUAAUCUAAACACUCUAAAACUUGCCCCAAAGAUCUAAGUUAUGUUGAAUGAGUCAGUUUAAAGAAAAGCAAACACCAAAUAAGAAAUGGAAGUUGCAAGUAGGUCUAUGCACGUGAAAGAUAAAAGUUUUUUAGCCAUUGUAUAUAUCCAUCUACCGUUCUUAACUGAAUCUUUUCUUAAAGGCUUUGCCUCACUUUAUGACAAUAAAAGAAGAAAAGCAACAACAAAGAACAAACACUUUCCGAGAAAAAAA
This 1827-nucleotide long non-coding RNA is filed under the name Musa acuminata (dwarf banana). RNAcentral describes it as "long non-coding RNA (MACU_LNC005198)". The record is from RNAcentral. Lineage: Eukaryota; Viridiplantae; Streptophyta; Magnoliopsida; Zingiberales; Musaceae.